RNAcentral lists this transfer RNA (75 nucleotides) under Allosyncarpia ternata. Its description in RNAcentral is "tRNA-His". It matches the Rfam family "tRNA". Rfam says of the family: Transfer RNA (tRNA) molecules are approximately 80 nucleotides in length. Their secondary structure includes four short double-helical elements and three loops (D, anti-codon, and T loops). The record is from RNAcentral. Lineage: Eukaryota; Viridiplantae; Streptophyta; Magnoliopsida; Myrtales; Myrtaceae.
UUCGCCGGCGGAUGUAGCCAAGUGGAUCAAGGCAGUGGAUUGUGAAUUCACCAUGCGCGGGUUCAAUUCCCGUCG